GAUGAAGAACGCAGCGAAAUGCGAUAAGUAAUGUGAAUUGCAGAAUUCAGUGAAUCAUCGAAUCUUUGAACGCACAUUGCGCCCCCUGGUAUUCCGGGGGGCAUGCCUGUCCGAGCGUCAUUACAACCCUCAAGCUCAGCUUGGUGUUGGGCCCCGCCGCCCCGGCGGGCCCUAAAGUCAGUGGCGGUGCCGUCCGGCUCCGAGCGUAGUAAUUCUUCUCGCUCUGGAGGCCCGGUCGUGUGCUCGCCAGCAACCCCCAAUUUUUUUCAGGUUGACCUCGGAUCAGGUAGGGAUACCCGCUGAACUUAAGCAUAUCAAAAGCGGAGA
This 327-nucleotide unclassified non-coding RNA is filed under the name soil metagenome. RNAcentral's name for it is "partial contains 5.8S ribosomal RNA, internal transcribed spacer 2, and large subunit ribosomal RNA". The stretch from base 1 to 120 matches the Rfam family "5.8S ribosomal RNA", at positions 35 to 154 of the family's 154-position model. The record is from RNAcentral.